This 2903-nucleotide ribosomal RNA is filed under the name Escherichia coli. RNAcentral's name for it is "bacterial LSU rRNA". It matches the Rfam family "Bacterial large subunit ribosomal RNA". The record is from RNAcentral. Lineage: Bacteria; Pseudomonadati; Pseudomonadota; Gammaproteobacteria; Enterobacterales; Enterobacteriaceae.
UUAAGCGACUAAGCGUACACGGUGGAUGCCCUGGCAGUCAGAGGCGAUGAAGGACGUGCUAAUCUGCGAUAAGCGUCGGUGAGGUGAUAUGAACCGUUAUAACCGGCGAUUUCCGAAUGGGGAAACCCAGUGUGUUUCGACACACUAUCAUUAACUGAAUCCAUAGGUUAAUGAGGCGAACCGGGGGAACUGAAACAUCUAAGUACCCCGAGGAAAAGAAAUCAACCGAGAUUCCCCCAGUAGCGGCGAGCGAACGGGGAGGAGCCCAGAGCCUGAAUCAGUGUGUGUGUUAGUGGAAGCGUCUGGAAAGGCGCGCGAUACAGGGUGACAGCCCCGUACACAAAAAUGCACAUAUUGUGAGCUCGAUGAGUAGGGCGGGACACGUGGUAUCCUGUCUGAAUAUGGGGGGACCAUCCUCCAAGGCUAAAUACUCCUGACUGACCGAUAGUGAACCAGUACCGUGAGGGAAAGGCGAAAAGAACCCCGGCGAGGGGAGUGAAAAAGAACCUGAAACCGUGUACGUACAAGCAGUGGGAGCCUCUUAAUGGGGUGACUGCGUACCUUUUGUAUAAUGGGUCAGCGACUUAUAUUCUGUAGCAAGGUUAACCGAAUAGGGGAGCCGAAGGGAAACCGAGUCUUAACUGGGCGUUAAGUUGCAGGGUAUAGACCCGAAACCCGGUGAUCUAGCCAUGGGCAGGUUGAAGGUUGGGUAACACUAACUGGAGGACCGAACCGACUAAUGUUGAAAAAUUAGCGGAUGACUUGUGGCUGGGGGUGAAAGGCCAAUCAAACCGGGAGAUAGCUGGUUCUCCCCGAAAGCUAUUUAGGUAGCGCCUCGUGAAUUCAUCUCCGGGGGUAGAGCACUGUUUCGGCAAGGGGGUCAUCCCGACUUACCAACCCGAUGCAAACUGCGAAUACCGGAGAAUGUUAUCACGGGAGACACACGGCGGGUGCUAACGUCCGUCGUGAAGAGGGAAACAACCCAGACCGCCAGCUAAGGUCCCAAAGUCAUGGUUAAGUGGGAAACGAUGUGGGAAGGCCCAGACAGCCAGGAUGUUGGCUUAGAAGCAGCCAUCAUUUAAAGAAAGCGUAAUAGCUCACUGGUCGAGUCGGCCUGCGCGGAAGAUGUAACGGGGCUAAACCAUGCACCGAAGCUGCGGCAGCGACGCUUAUGCGUUGUUGGGUAGGGGAGCGUUCUGUAAGCCUGUGAAGGUGUGCUGUGAGGCAUGCUGGAGGUAUCAGAAGUGCGAAUGCUGACAUAAGUAACGAUAAAGCGGGUGAAAAGCCCGCUCGCCGGAAGACCAAGGGUUCCUGUCCAACGUUAAUCGGGGCAGGGUGAGUCGACCCCUAAGGCGAGGCCGAAAGGCGUAGUCGAUGGGAAACAGGUUAAUAUUCCUGUACUUGGUGUUACUGCGAAGGGGGGACGGAGAAGGCUAUGUUGGCCGGGCGACGGUUGUCCCGGUUUAAGCGUGUAGGCUGGUUUUCCAGGCAAAUCCGGAAAACCAAGGCUGAGGCGUGAUGACGAGGCACUACGGUGCUGAAGUGACAAAUGCCCUGCUUCCAGGAAAAGCCUCUAAGCAUCAGGUAACAUCAAAUCGUACCCCAAACCGACACAGGUGGUCAGGUAGAGAAUACCAAGGCGCUUGAGAGAACUCGGGUGAAGGAACUAGGCAAAAUGGUGCCGUAACUUCGGGAGAAGGCACGCUGAUAUGUAGGUGAAGCGACUUGCUCGUGGAGCUGAAAUCAGUCGAAGAUACCAGCUGGCUGCAACUGUUUAUUAAAAACACAGCACUGUGCAAACACGAAAGUGGACGUAUACGGUGUGACGCCUGCCCGGUGCCGGAAGGUUAAUUGAUGGGGUUAGCGGCAACGCGAAGCUCUUGAUCGAAGCCCCGGUAAACGGCGGCCGUAACUAUAACGGUCCUAAGGUAGCGAAAUUCCUUGUCGGGUAAGUUCCGACCUGCACGAAUGGCGUAAUGAUGGCCAGGCUGUCUCCACCCGAGACUCAGUGAAAUUGAACUCGCUGUGAAGAUGCAGUGUACCCGCGGCAAGACGGAAAGACCCCGUGAACCUUUACUAUAGCUUGACACUGAACAUUGAGCCUUGAUGUGUAGGAUAGGUGGGAGGCUUUGAAGUGUGGACGCCAGUCUGCAUGGAGCCGACCUUGAAAUACCACCCUUUAAUGUUUGAUGUUCUAACGUUGGCCCGUAAUCCGGGUUGCGGACAGUGUCUGGUGGGUAGUUUGACUGGGGCGGUCUCCUCCUAAAGAGUAACGGAGGAGCACGAAGGUUGGCUAAUCCUGGUCGGACAUCAGGAGGUUAGUGCAAUGGCAUAAGCCAGCUUGACUGCGAGCGUGACGGCGCGAGCAGGUGCGAAAGCAGGUCAUAGUGAUCCGGUGGUUCUGAAUGGAAGGGCCAUCGCUCAACGGAUAAAAGGUACUCCGGGGAUAACAGGCUGAUACCGCCCAAGAGUUCAUAUCGACGGCGGUGUUUGGCACCUCGAUGUCGGCUCAUCACAUCCUGGGGCUGAAGUAGGUCCCAAGGGUAUGGCUGUUCGCCAUUUAAAGUGGUACGCGAGCUGGGUUUAGAACGUCGUGAGACAGUUCGGUCCCUAUCUGCCGUGGGCGCUGGAGAACUGAGGGGGGCUGCUCCUAGUACGAGAGGACCGGAGUGGACGCAUCACUGGUGUUCGGGUUGUCAUGCCAAUGGCACUGCCCGGUAGCUAAAUGCGGAAGAGAUAAGUGCUGAAAGCAUCUAAGCACGAAACUUGCCCCGAGAUGAGUUCUCCCUGAGACUUUAAGUCUCCUGAAGGAACGUUGAAGACGACGACGUUGAUAGGCCGGGUGUGUAAGCGCAGCGAUGCGUUGAGCUAACCGGUACUAAUGAACCGUGAGGCUUAACCUU